Molecule: RNA transcript, 3997 nt
Organism: Elaeis guineensis (African oil palm)
Lineage: Eukaryota; Viridiplantae; Streptophyta; Magnoliopsida; Arecales; Arecaceae
Gene name: transcription factor GTE4
Source: RefSeq, a predicted model, not a curated record
CACGCGGGGGGGAGACGCAAGACCGUUUGGGCUUUCUCUCUCUUCAAAAAAGUUGGCGUCAUCGCCAGCUCCUCCACCCUCUCACCCCCAAUCGAGGUAAACGCGAACCCCUCCUAUCUUCUCCCUCUCUAUCUCCCUCCGUUCGAUACUUGGAUCCCGUCUCGCAUCCUAUCCCUUGGAUCCCAGUAACCUCCCAUGGAUUUAUCUUAGAUUUAGGGUUUCUUGCUCCCAAAACCCUAACCCCAAAUCCCCUGCUCAAGGAAACAAAAAACCCUAAAAUUCUCUCUCCGCCCCUUUCCGUGGGCUACUUACAUGCAUGGCGUCUGGGCCUCUGGUUGGGGGCGGCGCCGGCGGUGAUGGCUCGUGGGAAAAGCAGCGAUGGGCGGAGAGCAACAAGGUCUACACCCGGAAAUCCCACAACAGGACCCCCAAGCCCACAUCCAACCCCCGGCUCCCGCCCUCCUCCGACCAAACCCCCAUCACCGCCACAGCAGCCGACGCCGCUGCCAGCUCUCCCCGCCACCCGCCCCCGCUGCAGCCCCCUGCCCCAUCCUCCGUGGCCUCCGACGAUGAUGCUUCCAGCCUCAACCGCCCCCAGGCCCCCGAUGGUGCUCAGCGGAGCCAGCCGAACGGCCACAGCCGCAGCGUCACCAUCAGUCUCGCUUCCCGUUCUCGGCAGGAGAUCCGGGAGCUCCGCCGCAAACUCACCGCCGAGCUCGAGCAGGUCCGUGCACUCUCCCAGAAGAUUGAGACCCGUCAGGUGCUUGCCUCUGCCGCCGCCGCAGCUUCUUCUGCUCCGGCUGCCGGGUACACCCACUCCCAGCUCUCGGUGACUGACCCAAAGACCCCUAUCUCUAGCAAGACCCCUGGUUCGGUCCCGUUCCGCCGCCAGCUCAGUAUCUCCGUUGCCACCGAGAACAACCCUAGCGAGGGCGUGGAGAAGGAGAAGCGGACGCCUAAGGCCAACCAGUAUUACCGGAACUCUGACUUUGUCCUCGGGAAAGAGAAGUUUCCACCUGAGCCUCAUGGCCACAAGAAAUCCAAGCCUAAUGGGGGCAAGAAGCAUAGUUUAGGGGAGCUGGACUACGGCGCUCAAGCUGCUGAAAAGAAGCUGUAUAACCAGGCCUUCAAGAGCUGUGCCGCGCUGCUUUCGAAGAUGAUGAAGCACAAGCAUGGUUGGGUAUUCAACAGCCCGGUUGAUGUGAAGGCCCUCGGUCUCCAUGACUACUUCAGCAUCAUCAAACACCCGAUGGACCUGGGCACCGUCAAGUCCCGUCUCUGCACGAACUGGUACAAAUCCCCCAGGGAGUUUGCCGAGGAUGUGAGACUCACCUUCCGCAACGCCAUGACAUACAAUCCCGAGGGGCAGGAUGUUCACAUCAUGGCCAAGCAGCUAUCCCAGAUAUUUGAGGAGCGGUGGCCUGCCAUUGAAGCUGAGUUUGCCUAUCUUUCCCAGCCACCUGCACCCAAGAAGCCUCCACCGCUUGACAUGAGGACUCUGGAGAGGUCAGAUUCCACCAUUUGUCCUGUGGCAGUAGAUUCAAAGAUGAAGCCGGUGAAUUAUGCCCCGCAUGUUGGCCGGCCACCUGCCUUGAAGAAGCCGAAGGCGAAGGAUCCACACAAGAGGGAUAUGACAUUCGACGAGAAGCAAAGGCUGAGCAAUAACCUACAGAAUCUGCCACCAGAGAAGCUAGAGAUCAUUGUGCAGAUAAUCAAGAAGAGGAAUUCUUCUGUCAACCAUCACGAUGAUGAAAUUGAAGUGGAUAUAGAUAGCGUGGAUGUGGAGACGCUCUGGGAGCUUGAUAGAUUCGUGACCAAUUACAAAAAGAGUCUGAGCAAGAACAAGAGGAAGGCGGAGCUUGCGAUUCUAGCUAGGCAGGCUGAGCAUAAUACCAGGGAAAUGGUGCAUGAAGGGGUUCCAGAUCCUAUCAGAGUGGAAAUGCCUGACAAAAGUAAGACAGUAGUGACGGAUGAGAAGUAUGUGGCUUCUUCGUCACCAGCUGGAGAAGAAAAGAAGGGGGAUAAUGCCAGUAGAUCUAGUAGUUCAAGCAGCUCUAGCAGUGAUUCAGGAUCCUCAUCCAGUGAUUCUGACAGUGAAAGUUCUUCAGCAUAUGGAUCGGAUGCGGAACACUCACCUAGAACAUGAACAGAUCCCAUGCAGAAUGUUUGAGAGGCGUGGCUGUCCGCAUUCUUUUUCAGACGGUCUCCGCUAGUGGCUGUGAGCGUAAUUGAUCGACUUUCGUCCUUAUCCACAGUAAACAGAGAAAUCAUCUGACAUAAAAGCACCUUAAUGAUCUUGUAUAUGUUCAUUGUAAUUUGAGGUUGAGGUUAAAAUGCGUUCAGGAGGAAGUACAAUCGAAGUAUAUUGAUCCAACAUUAGAUGAUUAUGUUGACGAGGAUGACGAUCCGAUCAUUGGAUGGCUUGCAGGUCAGCAGCAGGAAUCAGAGCUUGAUGAGCCGGGGUUCUCUCCACAAUCAGCCAGUGUGGUAGUUAGGGAGAUCAGGAUGGAUCCAGAGCAAUGGGCAGAAAGAAAUAUUCCAUAUAAGAUUCUAGUUGAUCAGUAACAGCCUAAGGGGACACAGAGGACUUAUUCAUCACAUGACUCGAUGUCCGAUACAUCCUCACAGAGGUUUGAGCGAGAAAUAUUUAGACGAAAUCGGCAGUCAGCAACAAGACAUCCAUUCUCUCAAUUACAGAAAAUUCAGUCACAGAGGGGCACAAGGAGAGGAAAAGAAAAGACAGUUGCACGUCCACCACUCUCGAGAGUACAGGAGCUAUCUGGCUCAGAUUCAGAGAUCAGAGAGAGUGAUGAUGGUACUAGUAUUAGUAGUCAUGGAACUGAUGAUCAGGAAGGAACUGAAGGACAGGAGACCACUGCUUAUGAGAUAGCCGCAGGAUGAUAUUCGAUUCACCAGUGAGUUUCAGUUUACACAUGUCACACAAGAUAGGGAUCAUGGUGGACGAGUCGGUAGAGACCGUGAGGAGCCAAUUUCAUACAGACGACGGGCUCCUAGAGGUCGUCCAGCAUACGAUGUAGCUGCAGAUGAUCUUGCAUGUGGAGUAGGAUCUAUGGAUGUAUCUGGAUCAUUCUCGCAUUUUGAAUCCUAUUACUCGCAGUCACCUUAUGAUCCAUAUGGAUAUGGUGCAUUCGAGGCAUCGUCUUCUAGUGGUUACUAUUCUGUGCAGCCUGAAGCAUCUUACGGAUUAGAUUUUGCUAUCGGCAUAUUUGGAUGGGCUCUUUCACAGCCAUACCAUCAUUUUGAGGAUACUUCUCAGAGUCAGAGUUUGAGUGAGAGAUCUUAGAUGUCUUACGAUUCAGAGAUGAUGUCUUAUGGGAUGAAUAUUCAGGAGUAUAGUGUUUCUUGGUUAGAGGGAAGGACUGAUGUUUCUUCAGACUAUACCAAUGAUCCAGAUAUCUACGAGCGUCACAAACAUUCGACGAGAUAUUAAGUGCAGAGCAGAUCUCGAAAUAUUGUCUGCAAAUUGACGGCAAAUCAGGAAUGUGGAUGGAUUUUGUAUGAUAUUGGCCCAUAAACGACGGUGGCUUGUUUGCUUGGCACCAGCUUUUCCUUUGGAAAACAUUUCUGUUCUUUUCAUUGUUUCUUAAAGAUUUGCAGGACUGUAGCUAGGCUCCUGGCGGUUCUUAGCAUGCUGGUGGAAGCUGCAAAGGCAUUGUGGAAGGAUAUGUACUUGUCUUAAUUUAUGGUCCCUUUCUCAUUCAACUUUGUAUGUAUUGUAGGAUGUGAUUUAUAGGGUAGAGGGGAAUGCUCUCCUUCAGUCUGAUCAGUGGUCACGGGUAAUUUAGCCAGUGUAUCUGUAAUUCGUAACAGUUUGCUGGUGAGGUAUGACCCAAGUCCAGGUGGAUUUUGUGGUGCCAGUGACCUAGAAACAUAGGAACUAAUUUAGGGAAUGUGGGAAUAAACAAGACUGAUUGUGCCCUUUUUCUCGAUCAAUUGUGAAUUAUCUACUGCACCGUGUUUGGGCUUGCGUGAAUCA